This 127-nucleotide ribosomal RNA is filed under the name Oidiodendron tenuissimum. RNAcentral's name for it is "partial large subunit ribosomal RNA". It matches the Rfam family "Eukaryotic large subunit ribosomal RNA", at positions 100 to 226 of the family's 3401-position model. The record is from RNAcentral. Lineage: Eukaryota; Fungi; Ascomycota; Leotiomycetes; Myxotrichaceae.
GGCAACAGCUCAAAUUUGAAAUCUGGCCCCCUCGGGGCCCGAGUUGUAAUUUGGAGAAGAUGCUUCGGGUGUGGCCCCGGUCUAAGUUCCUUGGAACAGGACGUCUCAGAGGGUGAGAACCCCGUAC